This 28-nucleotide non-coding RNA is filed under the name Trypanosoma brucei brucei. Lineage: Eukaryota; Euglenozoa; Kinetoplastea; Trypanosomatida; Trypanosomatidae. The record is from RNAcentral.
UGAAAGAGCAUAAUGCUCUGAAACUCGU